CUGCAUGGCUGUCGUCAGCUCGUGUCGUGAGAUGUCGGGUUAAGUCCCAUAACGAAGCGAAACCCUUGUCCUUAGUUGCUAGCGGGUAAAGCCGAGGACUCUAAGGAGACUGCCGGUGUUAAACCGUGAGGAAGGUGGGGACGACGUCAAGUCAUCAUGGCCUUUAUGUCCAGGGCUACAAACGUGCUACAAUGGCCGGCAUAAAGGGAGGCAAAACCGUGAGGUGGAGCAAAUCUCAAAAAUCCGGCCCCAGUUCGGAUUGGAGGCUGCAAUUCGCCUCCAUGAAGUUGGAAUCGCUAGUAAUCGCGUGUCAGCUACAACGCGGUGAAUGUGUUCCUGAGCCUU
This 345-nucleotide ribosomal RNA is filed under the name uncultured Planctomycetota bacterium. RNAcentral's name for it is "bacterial SSU rRNA". It matches the Rfam family "Bacterial small subunit ribosomal RNA", at positions 1041 to 1382 of the family's 1533-position model. The record is from RNAcentral. Lineage: Bacteria; Pseudomonadati; Planctomycetota.